RNAcentral lists this ribosomal RNA (253 nucleotides) under uncultured bacterium. RNAcentral describes it as "partial 16S ribosomal RNA". It matches the Rfam family "Bacterial small subunit ribosomal RNA", at positions 524 to 776 of the family's 1533-position model. The record is from RNAcentral.
UACAGAGGGGGCAAGCGUUGUUCGGAAUUACUGGGCGUAAAGGGCGCGUAGGCGGCCUGCUAAGUCGAACGUGAAAUCCCUGGGCUCAACCCAGGAACUGCGUCCGAUACUGGUUGGCUUGAAUCCGGGAGAGGGAUGCGGAAUUCCAGGUGUAGCGGUGAAAUGCGUAGAUAUCGGGAGGAACACCUGUAGCGAAGGCGGUUCUCUGGGCCAAUACUGACGCUGAGGAGCGAAAGCGUGGGGAGCAAACAGG